RNAcentral lists this ribosomal RNA (450 nucleotides) under uncultured bacterium. RNAcentral describes it as "partial 16S ribosomal RNA". It matches the Rfam family "Bacterial small subunit ribosomal RNA", at positions 354 to 796 of the family's 1533-position model. The record is from RNAcentral.
GUGGGGAAUUUUGGACAAUGGGCGCAAGCCUGAUCCAGCAAUGCCGCGUGCAGGAAGAAGGCCUUCGGGUUGUAAACUGCUUUUGUACGGAACGAAAAGGCUCUGGUUAAUACCUGGGGCUCAUGACGGUACCGUAAGAAUAAGCACCGGCUAACUACGUGCCAGCAGCCGCGGUAAUACGUAGGGUGCAAGCGUUAAUCGGAAUUACUGGGCGUAAAGCGUGCGCAGGCGGUUUUGUAAGACAGAGGUGAAAUCCCCGGGCUCAACCUGGGAAUUGCCUUUGUGACUGCAAGGCUGGAGUGCGGCAGAGGGGGAUGGAAUUCCGCGUGUAGCAGUGAAAUGCGUAGAUAUGCGGAGGAACACCGAUGGCGAAGGCAAUCCCCUGGGCCUGCACUGACGCUCAUGCACGAAAGCGUGGGGAGCAAACAGGAUUAGAUACCCUGGUAGUCC